Pan troglodytes (chimpanzee) is the source of this 434-nucleotide long non-coding RNA. RefSeq lists it as uncharacterized. The transcript has 3 exons. The record is from RefSeq and is a predicted model, not a curated record. Lineage: Eukaryota; Metazoa; Chordata; Mammalia; Primates; Hominidae.
ACCAGUUUCUCUCGCCAAGACCUCCUUCCUGCGGAAGCACCCUCUCUGCGCCACGCUCCACGGAGGCGCCAAGCAGAAGGCCUGGGAAGGGAAGAGUGAGCCUUCCCUGGUGGAGGGGCCACUCCUCAGGCAGUGGGGAGACCGCCUUUUGCAUGCAACAGGACUUACCAGUUACUAUUGGCACCGGAACCACCAUCUGAGAUACAGGAGAAGACAGAAAUGGAAGCAAAGGAAGUUUUUCUGGUUGGCCCCAUCAAAACGAACACACUGUGGAAUUUUUUAAAAGCACAUUGCAGCUUGCUACUUUGGAUUAAUGUCAGAAGUGCAACAUUUCAUGUUUUAUGAAAUAGUUCAAGUUGAAAAACUGGAAACAAAACCAGUCAUUCACAUGUGAACCGCAGUAGCAACAAGAACAAUAAAAUAAGAGUCUGGAA